CCUACGGGAGGCAGCAGUGAGGAAUAUUGGUCAAUGGACGCGAGUCUGAACCAGCCAAGCAGCGUGAAGGAUGACUGCCCUAUGGGUUGUAAACUUCUUUUAUAUGGGAAUAAAAUGUGCCACGUGUGGGAUUUUGUAUGUACCAUACGAAUAAGGAUUGGCUAACUCCGUGCCAGCAGCCGCGGUAAUACGGAGGAUCCGAGCGUUAUCCGGAUUUAUUGGGUUUAAAGGGAGCGUAGGUGGGUUGUUAAGUCAGGUGUGAAAGGUUGCGGCUCAACCGUGAAAUUGCAGUUGAAACUGGCAGUCUUGAGUGCAGUAGAGGUAGGCGGAAUGCGUGGUGUAGCGGUGAAAUGCUUAGAUAUCACGAAGAACUCCGAUUGCGAAGGCAGUUCACUGGACUGCAACUGACGCUGAGGCACGAAAGUGUGGGUAUCAAACAGGAUUAGAUACCCUGGUAGUC
This 460-nucleotide ribosomal RNA is filed under the name uncultured bacterium. RNAcentral's name for it is "partial 16S ribosomal RNA". It matches the Rfam family "Bacterial small subunit ribosomal RNA", at positions 338 to 795 of the family's 1533-position model. The record is from RNAcentral.